RNAcentral lists this unclassified non-coding RNA (224 nucleotides) under plant metagenome. Its description in RNAcentral is "partial contains small subunit ribosomal RNA and internal transcribed spacer 1". The record is from RNAcentral.
AAGUCUAACAAGGUACUGCCGGUAGGGUAAAUCCUGCGGAGGGAUCCAAUUAAUCGAGAAAGCGUUGCCCUAACGGGGUAGAUCUCCCACCCUUUGUUAACCAAACAUUGUUGCUUUGUCUGGCCCCGACCCUCGGGUCCGCCGGCCUUCGGGCUGGUCAGCGCCGGACAGAGGAAACUAAAACCUUUAUCACUGUCGUCAGAGUACUAUAUAAUAGUUAAAAA